RNAcentral lists this transfer RNA (51 nucleotides) under Mesabolivar sp. ITV1036I1. RNAcentral describes it as "tRNA-His". RNAcentral also lists the same sequence under 1 other name. The record is from RNAcentral. Lineage: Eukaryota; Metazoa; Arthropoda; Arachnida; Araneae; Pholcidae.
UGAAAAUGGGUAGUUUUAUAGUGCCACAGUCUAUCGUUUGAUUAUUAACUU